CAAUAGCGUAUAUUAAAGUUGUUGCAGUUAAAAAGCUCGUAGUUGAAUUUUUGCUUGCCGCCGAUGUCGGAACUUCCGUACGUUCGGCGGCGUGCAUCCUUGGGUGGAACCUGUGUGGCAUUAGGUUGUCGUGCAGGGGAUGCUCAUCGUUUACUGUGAAAAAAUUAGAGUGUUCAAAGCAGGCUUAUGCCGUUGAAUAUAUUAGCAUGGAAUAAUAAGAUAGGACCUUGGUACUAUUUUGUUGGUUUGCGCACCGAGGUAAUGAUUAACAGGGACAGCUGGGGGUAUUCGUAUUCCAUUGUCAGAGGUGAAAUUCUUGGAUUUCUGGAAGACGAACUACUGCGAAAGCAUUUACCAAGGAUGUUUUCAUUAA
Molecule: ribosomal RNA, 373 nt
Filed under: uncultured eukaryote
Lineage: Eukaryota
Description: partial 18S ribosomal RNA
Rfam family: Eukaryotic small subunit ribosomal RNA
Source: RNAcentral